CCACGGUUUCCGUUAUUUUCGAUAUUAUUUUUUUGUUGCAAGUAAGUAAAUAUAAUUAUUUGCAUCUAUAAUUUUUACAGAGUAUUAAUACAAGCCUUUUCAAGAUGUAAUUACAUUUUUAAAAUGACUGAUAGAUUAUGACAUUCCUAACAAAUUUCGUUAGAGCGUACAUAACUUUUAAAAACAAAAUUCAGAAGUUGUAUGUGAGUCUACUCGACGGCCCUACAUAACCCAAUGACCAUUUUGGUUUAUUAUUUAUGUUCACAAAUUCGCAAUUCAACUACCAACGGUUUAUUAUCGUGAUAUAAAAAUGUCAAAUAUGAUAUCAAAACUUCAUAACAAUCAAACGGGAGUUCAAAAUUUAAUAAUAACAAUCGGAAAUAAAUUAAAUAUCUUACAAGGAGUUAUUAGUAAUAAUACAAUGUAAUAAUUUAUUACAUUAUAAAACUAUUAGGAACCUUGUACAGUCCUAUGAAGUCUGCAUUUAUAAACCUUUACAGUAAAGAUUAUGACAUCGGUUGAAGUAACAUACCGAGUGUAAUGACCUUAGAUUAAAGGUCCGGGCAAAACUUCUAUAUUCUUUGUACUACAUUGUACCUACUAAUAUGCAAGACUGAGCAAGUUAUUGAUUAUUUUCAAUUCAGUUAAGUUAAGUUAAAUUUGAAUUUAGAUAAAGUUAAUUCAUAAUAAUAAUCUAUCAUU
This is a non-coding RNA of Cinara cedri, 702 nucleotides long. Lineage: Eukaryota; Metazoa; Arthropoda; Insecta; Hemiptera; Aphididae. The record is from the annotation of a GenBank genome assembly.